CCUACGGGAGGCAGCAGUGGGGAAUAUUGCACAAUGGGGGAAACCCUGAUGCAGCAACGCCGCGUGAGUGAAGAAGUAUUUCGGUAUGUAAAGCUCUAUCAGCAGGGAAGAAAAUGACAGUACCUGACUAAGAAGCCCCGGCUAACUACGUGCCAGCAGCCGCGGUAAUACGUAGGGGUCAAGCGUUAUCCGGAUUUACUGGGUGUAAAGGGAGCGUAGACGGCUGCGCAAGUCAGAAGUGAAAGCCCUGGGCUCAACCGCGGGACUGCUUUUUAAACUGUGUAGCUAGAGUGCAGGAGAGGUAAGUGGAAUUCCUAGUGGAGCGGUGAAAUGCGUAGAUAUUAGGAGGAACACCGGUGGCGAAGGCGGCUUACUGGACUGUAACUGACGUUGAGGCUCGAAAGCGUGGGGAGCAAACAGGAUUAGAUACCCCUGUAGUC
RNAcentral lists this ribosomal RNA (440 nucleotides) under uncultured bacterium. RNAcentral describes it as "partial 16S ribosomal RNA". It matches the Rfam family "Bacterial small subunit ribosomal RNA", at positions 338 to 795 of the family's 1533-position model. The record is from RNAcentral.